This 596-nucleotide ribosomal RNA is filed under the name uncultured bacterium. RNAcentral's name for it is "bacterial SSU rRNA". It matches the Rfam family "Bacterial small subunit ribosomal RNA", at positions 8 to 593 of the family's 1533-position model. The record is from RNAcentral.
AGAGUUUGAUCAUGGCUCAGGAUGAACGCUAGCUACAGGCUUAACACAUGCAAGUCGAGGGGCAGCACGAAGAUAGCUUGCUAUCUUGGGUGGCGACCGGCGCACGGGUGAGUAACGCGUAUCCAACCUGCCCAUUACUCUGGGAUAGCCUUGCGAAAGUAAGAUUAAUACCGGAUGUUGUUAAAAACCCGCAUGAGUUUUUAACCAAAGAUUUAUUGGUAAUGGAUGGGGAUGCGUGACAUUAGGUAGUUGGUGAGGUAACGGCUCACCAAGCCCACGAUGUCUAGUGGUUCUGAGAGGAAGGUCCCCCACACUGGAACUGAGACACGGUCCAGACUCCUACGGGAGGCAGCAGUGAGGAAUAUUGGUCAAUGGACGAGAGUCUGAACCAGCCAAGUAGCGUGCAGGAUGACGGCCCUCUGGGUUGUAAACUGCUUUUAGUUGGGAAUAAAAAGAGGGACGUGUCCCUAAUUGUAUGUACCAUCAGAAAAAGGACCGGCUAAUUCCGUGCCAGCAGCCGCGGUAAUACGGAAGGUCCAGGCGUUAUCCGGAUUUAUUGGGUUUAAAGGGAGCGUAGCGGGACGUGUAAGUCAGCU